Molecule: ribosomal RNA, 465 nt
Filed under: uncultured bacterium
Lineage: Bacteria
Description: partial 16S ribosomal RNA
Rfam family: Bacterial small subunit ribosomal RNA
Source: RNAcentral
GAUGAACGCUGGCGGCGUGCUUAACACAUGCAAGUCGAACGAUGAAGCCCAGCUUGCUGGGUGGAUUAGUGGCGAACGGGUGAGUAACACGUGAGUAACCUGCCCUUAACUCUGGGAUAAGCCUGGGAAACUGGGUCUAAUACCGGAUAGGAGCGUCCACCGCAUGGUGGGUGUUGGAAAGAUUUAUCGGUUUUGGAUGGACUCGCGGCCUAUCAGCUUGUUGGUGAGGUAAUGGCUCACCAAGGCGACGACGGGUAGCCGGCCUGAGAGGGUGACCGGCCACACUGGGACUGAGACACGGCCCACACUCCUACGGGAGGCAGCAGUGGGGAAUAUUGCACAAUGGGCGCAAGCCUGAUGCAGCGACGCCGCGUGAGGGAUGACGGCCUUCGGGUUGUAAACCUCUUUCAGUAGGGAAGAAGCGAAAGUGACGGUACCUGCAGAAGAAGCACCGGCUAACUACGU